UUUGGAGUUAAAUGGUCCCACCAGAGGGAGUAAGCCACAUUUGGAAGGGAAUGUGGAGCAGUAACAUCUAUUUUCUUUCUUGUCCCCCGUCCUUUAAGCUCUAAACAUACAUGCACAAACACAAAUGGCCUUUCAUCUCUGCUCCUGAGCUGCUGGAGGCUCGCAGCUUUCUAGGCGGACAUGAAAGCUGUUCUCUCUCCUGGCCUCAAAUGAACAUCGCCUCGGUGGCCCAACCGCGAACAGGCAGCGCUCUGCUGUCUUUUAGGGACCGGCCAGGAGGCUCCAUUUGGGACAGUCAAGACCAAGGGCCCAGGGACACAGGUAAACUGAAGAUGAUUUAUUUACAUAUGUGCAGGUAAGAGAGAUGUCUAUAAUACAUUUAAAUUUUUUUUCCCCAACAUCCUGUUCAAAGUGGACUCUACAGAGGGCAAAGCCAGCCACUAACUGACCAAAGUUAACCAUAGAGGUUUUGGAGGACUGAGGACAGAUAGGAGGCAGGGAGUAAUAAGGCUGGGUGGAUAAAGGAUCUCAGCUUUUUGGAUGGAGGAAGAGAAGAGAUAGGAGGUCACUGGUGGCUUCUUAGCUGCUCCUCUGAUCAUUCAGAUUCUUACUCCGAUAUCUGACUCCCAAUAUUUUUUAUUGAUAAAGAAUAAUUAGAUAAAUGUAUCAGAAGCUCACCACUAUUACGCUAACUGAAAACAAAUAAAGAUAUGGUAUAUGUAUAGAUAUGUGCUUACAUACACACAGAUCUAUACAUUCUAGAUUGUAGGGUAAUACACAGGGAGGCUAAUCCACCAUACGAAAUAGUUUUUAAAAAUGUAUCUUAUUUACUUUGUGUAACACACACACACACACACACACACACACACACACGGGGAAUGAGGAAGACUGCUCACAGAAGCCAGCAUCAGGCUUCAGAUCGCUAUAGCUGGAGUUAGAGUCAUUUUGUGAGUCUCCUUUGGUUGGUCCUGGGAUUCAAACUCAGGCCCUCUCACAGAACAGUAAACAUUUGUUAACUGACGAGCCAUCUCUUCAUCUCAACUUGUCUACAUGUUUUUAAUUUAUACAUUCAGCUAACAAAUUAAGUGAAAUAUGUCCUACAAUGUUCAGCCUUUGACUCUGCUAAGUAUGCCUCCAAAUCAUCAAAAUAAAAAAGCACAUAAGUAUUUAAAAAAAAAAAAGUGGACUCUAGGGCUGGGGAGAUGGUUCAGUGGGUAAGAAUGCUUGCAGUCCAAGUAUGAGGGCCUGAGUCAAAAUUCCCCCCCAAAAGCCAUGUGUAAACUGCACGGCUGUAACCCCAGUGGUGGUGGCGGGGAAGACAAGAGGAUUACUGGGCUCUACCAGCCUAGCUCCAGGUUUAGUGAGGGAUUCUGUCUCCAGGGAACAAGACAGAGAGAGAUUGAUCAGGGUACCUGAUGUCCUCUGGCAUGAUGUCCACACACAUGGACACAAAUGUGCAUGCACAAGUGUGCAUCAGCACAUAUAUGUGCACAUAUACGGCACUCACAUGUUCACAUACACACCUGCUGUGAUGGUUAGUUUUAACUGUCAACUUGGCACAAUCUGGGAUUACCUGGAAAAAGAAUCUCAGUGAGGAACUGUCUAGAUUGAUUGGCCUGUGAACAUCAGUGUGAGGAAUGUUCUUAAUUGGGUUGACUGAGGUGGGUGGCAGUGGCUGCCCCUUCUCAAGACUGAAUGGCAAGGGAGUCAGCUGAGCUGGCAGGCAGGCAGGCAUGCAUUCUCUCUGCUCUUGACCCUGGAUGUGAAUGGCUUCUUCAAGUUCCUGCUGCCUUGACAUCCGCACAAUGAUGGACUGGAACCUUUCAGAAUUUCAUGCUAAAAUACAUUCCUUAGAUUGUUUAUCUCAAGGUAUUUUUCAUAGCUAAGGAAGUAAAACUAACACAUCCAUACCUUCUGUGUACACACACAGAUGGACUCUGAGAUUUUAAUUUAGUAAAAAGCGCAGGUUAAAACUUUACACAACUGCAUCAGAUGUUGAUGAGAAUUUCGAAUUGAUUGGUUACUCACAUCUGGUUUUACCUGUUUGUCCUUGUUCUCCUAGACUGCUCUGUUCUCCCUUCCUUAUUUCUCCCCACAGCAACAGUGCCCUGACUGAAGUCAUUCACUCAUCCUAACCAUUCUGCCGCCAUUUACUUUUCCCCUUGUCCUUCUCACUGCUGAACUCAGCUGCUCCUUCCCUGCCCUGAGCCCUCCCUCACUCCCGCUUACAGUCUGCACAGUUGAGUCUUCAGUUCACACACACACACACACACACACACACACACACACACACACACACACACACACACACAUUCAGUCUUUGGUCAUGUAUUGCCACAUUCCUGCCAGCAUUUGUGUGUCUAGGUCCUUGGUCCUGUUCUCACCCCUGCUGCUUCUCUCUUACUGGUCUCACUUUGUUUUGAUCUCUGGCAUUAGCGGCCCUCCUUCCAACCUGGAGCACUCCAUGUUUUAUUGGCACCUCCCAGCCUUCCCUUUGCUUCCAACAGCCCUCACCAGUGCCUUCCACCCUAUGGAGAUCAAUACAUCAGGGGGGGUGGCGGUAAAGGCAGAGUCAAUGGAUCUGCUGCAGGGUGCUGCUCCAGAGCUGGAUCACAAAUGCUUCUGAUUCUGGGGCUGUUGCUAUGGUGAGUGUGAAACAUCCCUCACAGACUCAUGUGUUGGUUCCUAGCUGGUGGCACUGUUUUGGAAGUUUGUGGAAACUACAGGAGAGGAGGCCUAGCUGGAGGAAGUAGGUAACUUUGGGGGGGGGGGCGGGUAGGGGAAUGUUUAUGCCUGACCCCUUUGUACCUUGUUUCCUGCCUUGAGGAGAGCUCCCUCUGUCUUAUGUCUGUCUGCACCAUGGGGCUCAGAAUCGAAGAGCCAAGCAACCAUGGACUGAACCCUCUGGUACCCCAGAUGGAGGGAAAGUGAAGAAAUCAAGUAAUACCCUAAAAAGAUGGCAUUGAAAGCCACCUGCACACCUCAGUGGCAGGCACAGAAGACCACAGAUCACACGGUUCACUCCAGCAUUACCCCCUUCCUAUGGCUGGAAACAGGAUCUCCUUAGGAGAGGACACGGGAGCGCUCCGGCAUUCUCCACCAGGUCAUGAGCAUCUGUCCUUUGCGGUGACACACAGCUUCUGACUGUAACCCAAGAGCUCUUCUUGGCACACCUGGCCUUUCUCUCAGGUGUCUGAGAUGAAACCCAUGAAUAUUGAGCAGUCUCACUUUGCCUGACUGAAAAAUUAAUUCUGUCAAUUUUAACUGACAGCUCAUUUUAAAUUUAAAAUGAGGAGAUGAAUGGAUAGCCCCUGUUUCAUCAAAAAGGAGGUAGAGAGGCAUCAAAAUAGCUAACAAAGCCUGGAGAGAUCGAUGGCUCCUCCAGAAAGGGGCUUGCUGCACCUCCAUGAGGACCUGGGGUCCAUUUCCAGUACCCACUAAACAGCUGGGCACAGAGGUGCACGUGUGUAAUACCAGCACUUAGUGAGUGGAGACGAGGGGAUUCCUGGAGCUCACUGGCUGAUUAGCCAAGCCCAACUAGUGGUCCCAGUGAAUAAGCCUGUCUUGAAUAAUAAGAUGGGCAGUGACCAGGAAUAACACUUGAGGUUGUCUUCAGGUUUUCACAUGCAUGAGUAUGUAUCAGUGACCACUACAGACAAGCACAGACCAUCAGUGAUCACCAGACCAGCACAGACCAUCAGUGAUCACUACAGACCAGCAAAGACCAUCAGUGAUUCACCACAGACCAGCACAGACCAUCAGUGAUCACCACAGACCAGUACAGACCAUCAAUGAUCACCACAGACCAGCACAGACCUUUAGUGAUUCACUACAGACCAGCACAGACCAUCAGUGAUCACCACAGACCAUCAGUGAGCUUCUCAGGAUGUUUACAAAAACAACACCAAGCAUAAACAGAUGGCAUAAAAUGGAGAAAGUGAGCUGCACAUUAGCAACCAUGAUCUACCACUCUCUACUGCUGACUAUAAAUGGGAUCUGACAGCUGCUUCAGGCACCUACUGCCUUGAUUUCUCUGCCAUGACGGAUUGUACCUUGGACCGUGACAUAAAAUAAGCCUUUUCUCCUUAAAGUCGCUUUUGUCAGAUUAUUUUAACACAGCAACAGGAAAUAAAACUAAGAGUCAACACAGAAAAGUAUAUAAAGCGUGUACCAAAGCACAUAAAACAUAGUACAAGAUUUAUCAAUUAUAUACUUCACUUCGAUGUUAUAGUAAGAUAAUAGUAUCAUCAUUCAUUAUCAUGAAGUGAAUGCUCAGAUAAAGACCACCAACAUAAAUAAAUGGAGUACCACUGUGCCCCUAUGCGUCCCUUCUAACAAAAGUGCCUUCUAGAACAGUUUGGCCUAUUAUUGAAAUUUAUACAAAUGAAGCUGUACAGUGGUUCCAAUCUCACAUGUCUUUGUUCUGUGGCUUCAGAACAUCUCUUGAAUGAGCACCCACCAUGAAUGCAUUCAUCCUGCAACAAGCAUGACCAGCCGAGGACUGCCAAGUACAUUUUCAAUAUGCACUCGGCUACACAUGUGCAUGAGAUACUUGUGGGUGCACACCUGAAAACGGAGAUGCUGGUCAGUGAGGUCUGCACAUCUUCAGUGUAACUACAUGUAAGCCACUUUUCAGACCGGUUACCCUGAUUUACAAAACCCAUAUUCCUCCAUCCGGAAGCCAGAAGCUCUGCGAACCUGCCAAUUCACAGAAUGUGCUCAAGUCUGAUAUUCUACUUUCUGUCAGCUCAAUUCAUGAUGUAAUCUCAUUUGAUCCUAAUUUGCAUUUUUCCUAAUUGAUAACGAUGCUGUUUUUAAUUUUAUGCUUCUCCACUGCUAUUUAAAUACCUCGGUGAUAUUCCUUUGCUGCAAUCUGUGUUUCUAAAAAAAAAAAAAAAAUCUAUUUUAUAUAUUUUAAAUAUUCUGGAUAUAAAUCCAUUAUCAGAUAUAAUCUCAUUAAAGAAAAUUGGCAUUUUCUUUACAAUGGUUUGGUUUGGUUAAUUUUUAUUUAUAUUUAAUUUAUGUGUAGGAACGGUAGCUUUCAUGUCUGUAUGUAUACCUGGUAUCUGCUUGGUGUCUUCAGAGGCCAGAAGAAGGUGUAGAUCUCUGCAACUAGAGUUACAGGUGGUUGGAAGCCAUCAUGAAGUACUGGGAACUGAACCUGGGUCCUCUGUAAGAGCAGCAGGGACUUUUAACUGCAGAGUCCUCUCUCCAGCCCUACAAUGCUUUGCCAUA
Molecule: non-coding RNA, 5235 nt
Organism: Peromyscus maniculatus bairdii (prairie deer mouse)
Lineage: Eukaryota; Metazoa; Chordata; Mammalia; Rodentia; Cricetidae
Source: RefSeq, a predicted model, not a curated record